AGUGCACGCCGUAAACGAUGAAUACUAGGUGUCGGGGUCCACAGGAUCCCGGUGCCGCAGCAAACGCAUUAAGUAUUCCACCUGGGGAGUACGUUCGCAGGAAUGAAACUCAAAGGAAUUGACGGGGACCCGCACAAGCGGUGGAGCAUGUGGUUUAAUUUGAAGCAACGCGGAGAACCUUACCAAGCCUUGACAUCCUCCUGACGGCCCCUUAGCCGGGGAGUCCCUUCGGGGCAGGAGAGACAGGUGGUGCAUGGUUGUCGUCAGCUCGUGUCGUGGGAUGUUGGGUUAAGUCCCGCAACGAGCGCAACCCUUAUCCUCAGUAGCCAGCGGUCCGGCCGGGCACUCUGUGGAGACUGCCGGAGAUAAUCCGGAGGAAGGUGGGGAUGACGUCAAAUCAUCAUGCCCCUUAUGGCUUGGGCUACACACGUGCUACAAUGGCGGUAACAGAGUGAAGCAGCCUCGCGAGAGUGAGCCAACCACAAAAAAACCGUCCCAGUUCGGAUUGUAGUCUGCAACCCGACUACAUGAAGCUGGAAUCGCUAGUAAUCGCAGAUCAGAAUGCUGCGGUGAAUACGUUCCCGGGUCUUGUACACACCGCCCGUCACACCAUGGGAGUCGGAAAUGCCCGAAGCCAGUGACCCAACCUUAGGGAGGGAACUGUCGAAGGUGGAGCCGAUAACUGGGGUGAAGUCGUAACAAGGUAGCCGUAUCGGAAGGUGCGGCUGGAUCACCUC
This 737-nucleotide ribosomal RNA is filed under the name uncultured bacterium. RNAcentral describes it as "bacterial SSU rRNA". It matches the Rfam family "Bacterial small subunit ribosomal RNA", at positions 792 to 1529 of the family's 1533-position model. The record is from RNAcentral.